Molecule: long non-coding RNA, 626 nt
Organism: Cercocebus atys (sooty mangabey)
Lineage: Eukaryota; Metazoa; Chordata; Mammalia; Primates; Cercopithecidae
Exons: 3
Source: RefSeq, a predicted model, not a curated record
ACAAGGUGUUGAUAUGUGGAAGUAGUUACCUCAGGUCAAGUGUUCCUGCAGCCAGGCUGCAAGUACUCACUUCAAUGGAAAGCUCUGAGGUCCCUGCCAGCCCCUCUGGUCUACAGAUGUCUCGGGAUGCAGCCCCACCCUUUCUUAGUCACAGCAGUGGGAUUUGCAAAUGAGCAACACACCAGAGUUGUAACCAACCUUAAGGUGGACUUCAGCAAAAGAAUGGAGCAAUCACUGGGUGCCAGUAACACUAUGCUACGAUGUGCAGAGAGGGAAAUGAAGGCUAGCUCAUCCGAAGGAAACUACAGGGGAAUUUUAGAUCAGCAGAAUGCAAUUAUCCAAGUUGGAAUUGUUCCAGAACACCAAAGAGAACUCUAAAGAGUCAGGGUCUCUUUAUGUUGCCCAGACUAGUCUUCAACUCCUUGCCUCAAGUGAAUCCUCCUGACCUGGCCUCUGUAAGUGCUGAAAUUACGGGCUUGAGCUGCCAUGCCUGACCAAGCUCAGUACUCUUUUCAUGAUUCUAUCUAAGCUAGAAGGUAAGGAUUAAUUUUUUUUGUUAUUUCUAGGGCCCAGGCCAGAAUAUCACUGACAUAUGGAAGAUGCUCAAACAGGGAGAGAGGGAGAGA